This 253-nucleotide ribosomal RNA is filed under the name uncultured bacterium. Its description in RNAcentral is "partial 16S ribosomal RNA". It matches the Rfam family "Bacterial small subunit ribosomal RNA", at positions 524 to 776 of the family's 1533-position model. The record is from RNAcentral.
UACAGAGGUGGCAAGCGUUGUUCGGAAUUACUGGGCGUAAAGGGCGCGUAGGUGGCCUUCUUAGUCAGACGUGAAAUCCCCGGGCUUAACUCGGGAACUGCGUCUGAUACUGGAAGGCUCGAGUUCGGGAGAGGAAUGUGGAAUUCCAGGUGUAGCGGUGAAAUGCGUAGAGAUCGGGAGGAACAUCUGUGGCGAAGGCGGCCAUCUGGACCAGCACUGACACUGAGGCACGAAAGCGUGGGGAGCAAACAGG